This 433-nucleotide ribosomal RNA is filed under the name uncultured bacterium. RNAcentral describes it as "partial 16S ribosomal RNA". It matches the Rfam family "Bacterial small subunit ribosomal RNA", at positions 29 to 507 of the family's 1533-position model. The record is from RNAcentral.
AACGAACGCUGGCGGCAUGCCUAACACAUGCAAGUCGAACGAGACCUUCGGUUCUAGUUGCGCACGGGUGCGUAACGCGUGAGAACCUGCCCUUAGGUUCGGAAUAACUCCCCGUAAGGGGUGCUAAUCCCGUAUAAUUGCUUCGGACCAAAGAUUUAUUGCCUUUGGAUGGGCCCGAGUUGGAUUAGCUAGUUGUUAGGGUAAAAGCCUACCAAGGCGACGAUCCAUAGCUGGUCUGAGAGGAUGAUCAGCCACACUGGGACUGAGACACGGCCCAGACUCCUACGGGAGGCAGCAGUGGAGAAUAUUGGAGCGUGGGCGAAAGCCUGAUGCAGCCAUGCCGCGUGAGUGAUGAAGGCGUUAGGGUUGUAAAGCUCUUUUACCCGGGAUGAUGAUGACAGUACCGGGAGAAUAAGCGCCGGCUAACUACGUG